GAGGAUUGACCCUGAAUGUGAUCUCCAUUCGAACCAAGUUCUUUCGCCGUGACGAACGAAAAUGGAAGAAAUCUGGUGAAAUAAACUCGCCUGGGAGACCUUGUGCCAUAAUAAGCACUGGCCUGAACCGGCGGUAUGGGAAAGGACUCCAGCGCCAUAAAAUGUUACUUCCGGAUGACGUCAUGUUUUGAAAUAGCAUGAGCAUAGCCCUAGUUGUCACAAUCCCACCAUCGCCAGAGAAGUUUUCGUCAAACAUGUAUGCGCUAUGAAAAGAAGCUUUGUAUACAAAGUUCGAAACCCACGACAGCAACAUGCUGUCAAACAUCUCAUCAGUGCUUUCCUGGAAAUGCUCACUGUCCAGAAAAGGACGACAAAGAUUUGCCAGGAUGGCACCCCAGAGUGAGGCCGUGAGAUUUGCGCUUGUGCUGUUCCGUGGCGAAGGUAUUUAACCUUCAGGCCCAGCGUCU
Molecule: long non-coding RNA, 467 nt
Organism: Liolophura sinensis
Lineage: Eukaryota; Metazoa; Mollusca; Polyplacophora; Chitonida; Chitonidae
Exons: 4
Source: RefSeq, a predicted model, not a curated record